Anthonomus grandis grandis is the source of this 420-nucleotide long non-coding RNA. RefSeq lists it as uncharacterized. The transcript has 2 exons. The record is from RefSeq and is a predicted model, not a curated record. Lineage: Eukaryota; Metazoa; Arthropoda; Insecta; Coleoptera; Curculionidae.
CUUUAGUUUAGUGUUGAAUUAAAAACAAAAUUUUCCGGCGACUGUGAAAUGGCAUGUAACAAUUGGCUGCGGAAGUAUUCAACGGAGACCAAAACAGAUUGGAUUGUUAAUCGUACAUAUCCAAAAGUCACCAAAAUCGCCUUCCGCAAAGAUUUUGUUUGUCAUCGUUCUAAAAGAAACAAAACUCUUGAUAGCAGCCGUUUACGCAAUAGAAAUUUUAAUUUUUUGCAAGCUUGGUAAUUCGAGUUAGAAAAAAACACCGUUGAUACCAGGAAGAGAGACACAUUUAUGAAGGAAGUGGUAACAGAAAAACACAUUUUUGUAAAAAAACUUUUAUAUAACAAGAUUUUAUGAAAUACAAAAUGUAAUACCUAUUAUUGUUUUAUAAUUAAUAAAAUUUUUAUUUAUUCUUUUGAUAAA